Molecule: ribosomal RNA, 260 nt
Filed under: uncultured archaeon
Lineage: Archaea
Description: partial 16S ribosomal RNA
Rfam family: Archaeal small subunit ribosomal RNA
Source: RNAcentral
CAGCCGUAAACUAUGCGCGUUAGGUGUAUCGGUGACCACGAGUUACCGAGGUGCCGAAGGGAAACCGUGAAACGUGCCGCCUGGGAAGUACGGUCGCAAGGCUGAAACUUAAAGGAUUGGCGGGGGAGCACCACAACGGGUGGAGCCUGCGGUUUAAUUGGACUCAACGCCGGGAAGCUCACCGGAUAAGACAGCGGAAUGAUUGCCGGGCUGAAGACUCUGCAUGACUAGCUGAGAGGAGGUGCAUGGCGUAGACGUCU